This 341-nucleotide ribosomal RNA is filed under the name uncultured Streptococcus sp. RNAcentral's name for it is "bacterial SSU rRNA". It matches the Rfam family "Bacterial small subunit ribosomal RNA", at positions 1047 to 1382 of the family's 1533-position model. Lineage: Bacteria; Bacillati; Bacillota; Bacilli; Lactobacillales; Streptococcaceae. The record is from RNAcentral.
GGUUGUCGUCAGCUCGUGUCGUGAGAGUGUUGGGUUAAGUCCCGCAACGAGCCGCAACCCCUUAUUGUUAGUUGCCAUCAUUCAGUUGGGCACUCUAGCGAGACUGCCGGUAAUAAACCGGAGGAAGGUGGGAUGACGUCAAAUCAUCACUGCCCCUUAUGGACCUGGGCUACACACGUGCUACAAUGGUUGGGUACAACGAGUUGCGAGUCGGUGACGGCGAGCUAAUCUCUUAAAGCCAAUCUCAGUUCGGAUUGUAGGCUGCAACUCGCCUACAUGAAGUCGGAAUCGCUAGUAAUCGCGGAUCAGCACGCCCGCGGUCGAAUACGUUCCCGGGCCUU